Long non-coding RNA from Helicoverpa zea (corn earworm), 664 nucleotides. RefSeq lists it as uncharacterized. NCBI's taxonomy places the organism in Eukaryota, Metazoa, Arthropoda, Insecta, Lepidoptera, Noctuidae. The record is from RefSeq and is a predicted model, not a curated record. The transcript has 4 exons.
UUGUUUGAUAUUAAGGAUGCAAGGUUUGCUGUUCCACGCUUCGCUAGAUUUAUGGUGCCACGAAUAGAUUACUGGCUUUAUCAGCAGCGGACACACGCAAGCAUACAUAAUCAUCCAGUGAGCAAUACGCACUUGAGCAUUUUAGUAUAUAAUAUACGCCAAUACUGAUAAAAUCAGAACAAUCGCCAUUGAUUAUACGGUCCAAACAUUUCGAUUUACAUCUCUGCUUUAUAACAUUUAUAUUGGCUGGUCCUACGAGAUUAUGCUGAUAAUAUAGAAGAGUGUGAACAGAACACCAAGCUCAGUGCUUUAUUCACUUCAUUCACGGCAGCGUGCGGACGCAGGAUUGUAACGUCGAUAAAGACAAAGUGCAUUGUUCCUAAAUGGCUUUCCUAAUUGUAGCUGGAGUGUUGCUCGUAAUAAAUACAGUGUUUUUGGUUGGAUCUUUAAUCUAUACGCUGAAGACUACUACGGGAAAGGUUGAUCCCGUGGCACCCUCUCGGAUGGACCCGCGCUUGAGUCUUCAACCUCAAGAGCUAUUGUACCAAGCCAUUGUGCGCAUAAGUGCAAACCCCGUGCCUGACAUCGACAAGCUAGACAGCCAGACAAAGCAAGCUUCGUAAAAGACCACCAAACUGUGUACCUGAACUUUAUAAAUAUGUAA